GUGGAUAGUGCGGGGUCCCGCACGCCGGCGCGGAGGGUCCGUGUCAAGAGCGGCAGAGGCUGCUCGAAGGCGAGAAAAGCGUGUGCGGAGGGAAAGUAAAGCGGGAGCGCGCAGAAUCGAGCUGACGGAAGUCUAGUGCCCACUCCCCCCUUCAAUACUGGUCUGUGGUGGCCUCAGAGGCCAGGUUCCCGAGUGCCCAUUCUCUUGCAGGUCCCUGAGCAGAGCGGCUGGGACAGGCCCAGAGAUGUGGGAUCAUGAAAGCCUGAGGGUAAACUUGGACCUGCGAUUUGCCUGACAGACUGCUGAGCAGUGGAGCGAGAGCGAGCAGGGGUCUCCCAAGACAGUGCGUGCUCCUUAGGCGUCUGCUGUGCACCACUGGCCUCUGCCCACUUGCUCC
RNAcentral lists this long non-coding RNA (397 nucleotides) under Meriones unguiculatus (Mongolian gerbil). RNAcentral's name for it is "lncRNA (ENSMUGG00000025539.1)". The record is from RNAcentral. Lineage: Eukaryota; Metazoa; Chordata; Mammalia; Rodentia; Muridae.